GCAUCAGAACAGGUGUUGGUUGUCCCAAAUCCCAUGGGGUCAAUCCUUGCUCCCAGCACUUCUCCCAACCACCAGAAGAGUCGGUGUCAAGAAUUCGUUGCAUUUGAUUAACUUCAGGCUUGAAUUUAACGGUAAUCUCCCUUGCACUUGGUUGUUCUUCCCUCUUCUUAUCCAUUCUCGGAGGGGCAGCGCCAACCCCGAGGCCUCUGAAAGGAAUAGCUCUGUUUGCUGAAGCCGGAUUCUGAACGGAGAGGAUAGUGUUGGAGAGCCAACGGAAGGACAGUGAUCGCAUAUCUUUCUGCUUUCGUCAGAGACCCAAACGAGCUUCCCGUCGAG
RNAcentral lists this unclassified non-coding RNA (336 nucleotides) under Hevea brasiliensis (rubber tree). Lineage: Eukaryota; Viridiplantae; Streptophyta; Magnoliopsida; Malpighiales; Euphorbiaceae. The record is from RNAcentral.